AGAGUUUGAUCCUGGCUCAGGAUGAACGCUGGCGGCGUGCUUAACACAUGCAAGUCGAACGGGAUCCAUCAGGCUUUGCUUGGUGGUGAGAGUGGCGAACGGGUGAGUAAUGCGUGACCGACCUGCCCCAUACACCGGAAUAGCUCCUGGAAACGGGUGGUAAUGCCGGAUGCUCCGACUCCUCGCAUGGGGUGUCGGGAAAGAUUUCAUCGGUAUGGGAUGGGGUCGCGUCCUAUCAGGUAGUCGGCGGGGUAACGGCCCACCGAGCCUACGACGGGUAGCCGGCCUGAGAGGGCGACCGGCCACAUUGGGACUGAGAUACGGCCCAGACUCCUACGGGAGGCAGCAGUGGGGAAUAUUGCACAAUGGGCGCAAGCCUGAUGCAGCGACGCCGCGUGCGGGAUGACGGCCUUCGGGUUGUAAACCGCUUUUGAUCGGGAGCAAGCCUUCGGGUGAGUGUACCUUUCGAAUAAGCACCGGCUAACUACGUGCCAGCAGCCGCGGUAAUACGUAGGGUGCAAGCGUUAUCCGGAAUUAUUGGGCGUAAAGGGCUCGUAGGCGGUUCGUCGCGUCCGGUGUGAAAGUCCAUCGCUUAACGGUGGAUCUGCGCCGGGUACGGGCGGGCUGGAGUGCGGUAGGGGAGACUGGAAUUCCCGGUGUAACGGUGGAAUGUGUAGAUAUCGGGAAGAACACCAAUGGCGAAGGCAGGUCUCUGGGCCGUUACUGACGCUGAGGAGCGAAAGCGUGGGGAGCGAACAGGAUUAGAUACCCUGGUAGUCCACGCCGUAAACGGUGGAUGCUGGAUGUGGGGCCCGUUCCACGGGUUCCGUGUCGGAGCUAACGCGUUGAGCAUCCCGCCUGGGGAGUACGGCCGCAAGGCUAAAACUCAAAGAAAUUGACGGGGGCCCGCACAAGCGGCGGAGCAUGCGGAUUAAUUCGAUGCAACGCGAAGAACCUUACCUGGGCUUGACAUGUUCCCGACAGCCGUAGAGAUAUGGCCUCCCUUCGGGGCGGGUUCACAGGUGGUGCAUGGUCGUCGUCAGCUCGUGUCGUGAGAUGUUGGGUUAAGUCCCGCAACGAGCGCAACCCUCGCCCUGUGUUGCCAGCACGUCAUGGUGGGAACUCACGGGGGACCGCCGGGGUCAACUCGGAGGAAGGUGGGGAUGACGUCAGAUCAUCAUGCCCCUUACGUCCAGGGCUUCACGCAUGCUACAAUGGCCGGUACAACGGGAUGCGACACGGCGACGUGGAGCGGAUCCCUGAAAACCGGUCUCAGUUCGGAUUGGAGUCUGCAACCCGACUCCAUGAAGGCGGAGUCGCUAGUAAUCGCGGAUCAGCAACGCCGCGGUGAAUGCGUUCCCGGGCCUUGUACACACCGCCCGUCAAGUCAUGAAAGUGGGUAGCACCCGAAGCCGGUGGCCUAACCCUUUGUGGAUGGAGCCGUCUAAGGUGAGACUCGUGAUUGGGACUAAGUCGUAACAAGGUAGCC
RNAcentral lists this ribosomal RNA (1489 nucleotides) under uncultured bacterium. RNAcentral describes it as "bacterial SSU rRNA". It matches the Rfam family "Bacterial small subunit ribosomal RNA". The record is from RNAcentral.